This 483-nucleotide ribosomal RNA is filed under the name uncultured bacterium. Its description in RNAcentral is "partial 16S ribosomal RNA". It matches the Rfam family "Bacterial small subunit ribosomal RNA", at positions 29 to 506 of the family's 1533-position model. The record is from RNAcentral.
AUUGAACGCUGGCGGCAGGCCUAACACAUGCAAGUCGAGCGGAUGAAGGGAGCUUGCUCCUGGAUUCAGCGGCGGACGGGUGAGUAAUGCCUAGGAAUCUGCCUGGUAGUGGGGGAUAACGUCCGGAAACGGGCGCUAAUACCGCAUACGUCCUGAGGGAGAAAGUGGGGGAUCUUCGGACCUCACGCUAUCAGAUGAGCCUAGGUCGGAUUAGCUAGUUGGUGGGGUAAAGGCCUACCAAGGCGACGAUCCGUAACUGGUCUGAGAGGAUGAUCAGUCACAGGGGACGUGAGACAGGGUCCAGCCCCCUGGGGGGGGCGGCAGGGGGAAUUUGGGAAAAAGGGGCGAAAGCGUGACCCAGCGAGGCGGUGGGUGUAAGGAGGGUCUUCGAUUUGUAAGGAUUUUUAGGUGGGGAGAAAGGGCAGAAAGUAAAUCCCUUGUUUUUGGGACUUACCCAAAAAAAAAAGCCCCGCCAAACUUCGU